This 369-nucleotide ribosomal RNA is filed under the name uncultured Glomeromycotina. RNAcentral's name for it is "LSU rRNA". Lineage: Eukaryota; Fungi; Glomeromycota. The record is from RNAcentral.
UUGAAAGGGAAACGAUUGAAGUCAGUCGUGCUGGCGCGAAAUCAACCUUCUCGUCUUGAGAUCACAUGGCGUGGCGAGCCUCAAAACCGUCACGAAGCGUGAACUCUUUGUGAAAUUGGAGCACUUUCGUGUCCGCUGGUUAACAUCAAUUUCGAACGUCAUAAAAAGGCUGGAGGGAUGUGGCUCCUUCGGGAGUGUUAUAACCUUUAGCGGAAUGGGUGUUCGGGAUUGAGGAUUGCAACGAAUACCUUUAGGGCUGUUCCACCUGGCUUCUCUUUGGUAUCCUGGUGACGACAGCUUGCUGACGUCGUUAGGAUUCGCCUUUGAACAGGUUAGAGUGUGAGCAAAUUCGUUAAGGAUGUUGACGUA